This 661-nucleotide ribosomal RNA is filed under the name uncultured bacterium. RNAcentral's name for it is "bacterial SSU rRNA". It matches the Rfam family "Bacterial small subunit ribosomal RNA", at positions 8 to 658 of the family's 1533-position model. The record is from RNAcentral.
AGGGUUUGAUCCUGGCUCAGAUUGAACGCUGGCGGCAGGCUUAACACAUGCAAGUCGAGCGGUAACAGAGAGUAGCUUGCUACUUUGCUGACGAGCGGCGGACGGGUGAGUAAUGCUUGGGAAUAUGCCUUAUGGUGGGGGACAACAGUUGGAAACGACUGCUAAUACCGCAUAACGUCUACGGACCAAAGGGGGGGAUCUUCGGACCUCUCGCCAUUUGAUUAGCCCAAGUGAGAUUAGCUAGUUGGUGAGGUAAAGGCUCACCAAGGCGACGAUCUCUAGCUGGUUUGAGAGGAUGAUCAGCCACACUGGGACUGAGACACGGCCCAGACUCCUACGGGAGGCAGCAGUGGGGAAUAUUGCACAAUGGGCGAAAGCCUGAUGCAGCCAUGCCGCGUGUGUGAAGAAGGCCUUCGGGUUGUAAAGCACUUUCAGUUGUGAGGAAAGGAGUGUAGUUAAUAGCUGCAUUCUGUGACGUUAACAACAGAAGAAGCACCGGCUAACUUCGUGCCAGCAGCCGCGGUAAUACGAGGGGUGCAAGCGUUAAUCGGAAUUACUGGGCGUAAAGCGUUCGUAGGCGGUCUAUUAAGCAAGAUGUGAAAGCCCAGGGCUCAACCUUGGAACUGCAUUUUGAACUGGUAGACUAGAGUACUGUAGAGGG